CGGCCUAUCAGCUUGUUGGUGAGGUAAUGGCUCACCAAGGCUACGACGGGUAGCCGGCCUGAGAGGACGACCGGCCACACUGGGACUGAGACACGGCCCAGACUCCUACGGGAGGCAGCAGUGGGGAAUAUUGCUGAUGGGCGCAAGCCUGAUGCAGCGACGCCUCGUGGGGGAUGAAUGCCUUCGGGUUGUAAACCCCUUUCAGAAGGGAAGAAAAUUAAGUGGCCGUCCCUACAGACCAAGGGCCGGCUACUUACAUGAAACCCGGCGGGAUUGAGCGCAGGGCUCUCGCGUUGUACUGAAGUAUUGGACGUAGAGAGCUUUAAGGCGGCUUGUCGCGUGUGCUGUGAAAUCCCUCGGCCUUACCUCGGCUCUGGAGACGGAACUGGCCGACUCUUGCGCGGGGGGUACGACUGGACCUCCUGGUGGUUCAACUGAAUGCAUAUAGUUCCGGAGGAACGCGGAUGACGAAGGCAGGGGGCUGGGCCCGUA
Molecule: ribosomal RNA, 492 nt
Filed under: uncultured Actinomycetes bacterium
Lineage: Bacteria; Bacillati; Actinomycetota; Actinomycetes
Description: bacterial SSU rRNA
Rfam family: Bacterial small subunit ribosomal RNA
Source: RNAcentral